AAGCACGCUCAAGCAUUAGGUGGUUCAAACAAUCGGUUGAAUCUGAAAAGGGAAGCUGGUGAAAGUCCAGCACGGUCGCGCCACUGUAAUAAGGAGCUACAUGUGAGGAAACCACUGUCCAAAGGAUGGGAAGGUACACAUGGAGUGUUGAUCUUAAGUCAGGAGACCUGCCUAAUGUAUGCACUUGCA
RNAcentral lists this non-coding RNA (189 nucleotides) under Halalkalibacterium halodurans. RNAcentral also lists the same sequence under 1 other name. Lineage: Bacteria; Bacillati; Bacillota; Bacilli; Caryophanales; Bacillaceae. The record is from RNAcentral.